Molecule: non-coding RNA, 85 nt
Organism: Acanthosepion pharaonis
Lineage: Eukaryota; Metazoa; Mollusca; Cephalopoda; Sepiida; Sepiidae
Source: the annotation of a GenBank genome assembly
UUCUCAUUCGAUCGCAGAAGUUAAGCAGCAUCCAGCUCGGUCAGUACUUAGAUGGGGGACCGCGUGGGAACACUGAGUACUGUAA